Molecule: small nucleolar RNA, 95 nt
Organism: Rattus norvegicus (Norway rat)
Lineage: Eukaryota; Metazoa; Chordata; Mammalia; Rodentia; Muridae
Product: small nucleolar RNA SNORA17
Source: Ensembl
UCCAUUCCUAGAGGCAUUGAGGUGUGGCAGAAAGGACUCCCUCUAUGCUCAGUGUUCUGACCUGUGAACCUCUAAAUGAUUAGUAGCCUAACAUC